Molecule: long non-coding RNA, 248 nt
Filed under: Vigna radiata
Lineage: Eukaryota; Viridiplantae; Streptophyta; Magnoliopsida; Fabales; Fabaceae
Description: long non-coding RNA (VRAD_LNC010113)
Source: RNAcentral
GUCAAGUGAACCGUUGAGCGUUAGAAUGGACCGUUGAGCGUCCAGAGCGAUCAAGGGCAAACCGCUCAACGGUAAAACUGACUGUUGAGCAGUCCAACGGAUAAAGGGGAAACCGCUGAGCGGUUUACUUAGGCACCUAGGCUGUUGUCUGUUUUUAUUAGCUUAGAUUCUGUAAUCUUUCUGUUAUCUUUUUGGCUUAUAUAUAGCCCCAAUGCGAAUCAAAACUGAAUCUUUUGGCAGAUAGAAAC